AGUUUUCUAAACUCCCAAACCCUUGAGAACAUACCUUGGUUGCCUCGGCGGAAGCGCCGCCCUGGGAUGGCCUACCCUGUAGCGUCUUACCCCGAGCGGAGCCCCCCGCCGGUGGUCUUCUAAACUCUGUUUUAUUGUGUCACCUCUGAGGAUUAUUAUAAAAUCAGUUAAAACUUUCAACAACGGAUCUCUUGGUUCUGGCAUCGAUGAAGAACGCAGCGAAAUGCGAUAAGUAAUGUGAAUUGCAGAAUUCCGUGAAUCAUCGAAUCUUUGAACGCACAUUGCGCCCAUUAGUAUUCUAGUGGGCAUGCCUGUUCGAGCGUCAUUUCAACUCAUCAAGCUUUAUUUUUGCUUGGCGUUGGGAGAACGCGGGGCCCUGGAGCCCCGCGCCUCCUCAAAUCCAUCGGCGGAGUCGUGGCGACCCAAGCGUAGUAAUUCUUUCUCGCUUCAGGUGUUUUGCUGCUGGCGUCUAGCCGCUAAACCCUCUAUUUCUUUUUAGGUUUGACCUCGGAUCAGGUAGGAAUACCCGCUGAACUUAAGCAUAUCAAUAAGCGGAGGAAAAGAAACCAACAGGGAUUGCCCUAGUAACGGCGAGUGAAGCGGCAACAGCUCAAAUUUGAAAUCUGGCCCUCGGGUCCGAGUUGUAAUUUGUAGAGGAUGCUUUUGGUGCGGUGCCUUCCGAGUUCCUUGGAACAGGACGCCUUAGAGGGUGAGAGCCCCGUACGGUUGGACACUAAGCCUCUGUAAAGCUCCUUCGACGAGUCGAGUAGUUUGGGAAUGCUGCUCUAAAUGGGAGGUAAAUUUCUUCUAAAGCUAAAUACCGGCCAGAGACCGAUAGCGCACAAGUAGAGUGAUCGAAAGAUGAAAAGUACUUUGAAAAGAGGGUUAAAUAGCACGUGAAAUUGUUGAAAGGGAAGCGUUUAUGACCAGACCUUCGUCGGGCGGAUCAUCCGGUGUUCUUCACCGGUGCACUUCGCCCGGCUUAGGCCAGCAUCGGUUUUCGCAGGGGGACAAAGGCCCCGGGAACGUAGCUCCCUCCGGGGAGUGUUAUAGCCCGGGACGUAAUACCCUUGCGGGGACCGAGGUCGCG
The sequence is a ribosomal RNA, 1090 nucleotides long. The stretch from base 503 to 1090 matches the Rfam family "Eukaryotic large subunit ribosomal RNA", at positions 1 to 598 of the family's 3401-position model.